Molecule: ribosomal RNA, 263 nt
Filed under: uncultured Eubacteriales bacterium
Lineage: Bacteria; Bacillati; Bacillota; Clostridia; Eubacteriales
Description: uncultured Clostridiales bacterium partial 16S ribosomal RNA
Rfam family: Bacterial small subunit ribosomal RNA
Source: RNAcentral
CUUGCUCUUCAAAUCGAGUGGCGAACGGGUGAGUAACGCGUGAGGAACCUGCCUUUCAGUGGGGGACGAACAGUUGGAAACGACUGCUAAUACCGCAUAAUGCUUUUGUAGCGGCAUCGCUUGAAAGCCAAAGAUUUAUUGCUGAAAGAUGGCCUCGCGUCUGAUUAGCUAGUUGGUGAGGUAACGGCCCACCAAGGCGACGAUCAGUAGCCGGUCUGAGAGGAUGAACGGCCACAUUGGGACUGAGAUACGGCCCAGACUCC